Molecule: ribosomal RNA, 253 nt
Filed under: uncultured bacterium
Lineage: Bacteria
Description: partial 16S ribosomal RNA
Rfam family: Bacterial small subunit ribosomal RNA
Source: RNAcentral
UACGGGGGGGGCAAGCGUUGUUCGGAAUUACUGGGCGUAAAGGGCUCGUAGGCGGCCAACUAAGUCGGACGUGAAAUCCCUCGGCUCAACCGGGGAACUGCGUCCGAUACUGGAUGGCUUGAGUUCGGGAGAGGGAUGCAGAAUUCCAGGUGUAGCGGUGAAAUGCGUAGAUAUCUGGAGGAAUACCGGUGGCGAAGGCGGCAUCCUGGACCGGCAUUGACGCUGAGGAGCGAAAGCCAGGGGAGCAAACGGG